Molecule: ribosomal RNA, 492 nt
Filed under: uncultured bacterium
Lineage: Bacteria
Description: bacterial SSU rRNA
Rfam family: Bacterial small subunit ribosomal RNA
Source: RNAcentral
GAUGAACGCUAGCGGCAGGCUUAAUACAUGCAAGUCAAGGGGGUAGCAAUACAACCGGCGCACGGGUGAGUAACGCGUACACAACAUACCAUAUACUGGGGUAUAGCUUUGGGAAACUGAAGGUAAUCCCCCAUAACAUUGCGAGAGGGCAUCUGAUUGCAAUUAAAGUUUCGGCGGUAUAUGAUUGGUGUGCGUUUGAUUAGCUAGUUGGUAGGGUAACGGCCUACCAAGGCGACGAUCAAUAGCUGGCGUGAGAGCGCGACCAGCCACACUGGAACUGAGACACGGUCCAGACUCCUACGGGAGGCAGCAGUAGGGAAUAUUGGACAAUGGAGGAAACUCUGAUCCAGCCAUGCCGCGUGAUAGAUGAAGGCCCUCUGGGUUGUAAAUAUCUUUUAUCUGGGAAGAAACAAUCUUAUUCUUAAGAUCUUGACGGUACCAGAGGAAUAAGCACCGGCUAACUCCGUGCCAGCAGCCGCGGUAAAGUACAGU